RNAcentral lists this RNase P RNA (413 nucleotides) under bacterium. Its description in RNAcentral is "RNase P RNA component class A". It matches the Rfam family "Bacterial RNase P class A". From Rfam's summary of the family: Ribonuclease P (RNase P) is a ubiquitous endoribonuclease, found in archaea, bacteria and eukarya as well as chloroplasts and mitochondria. The record is from RNAcentral. RNAcentral also lists the same sequence under 1 other name.
UAGGAAGACUAGACAAUCGCCCCGGCAUACGCCAGGGAGGAAAGUCCGAACACCCGCCAUUCGGCGGGCAGGCCGCAUGGCCUGCCUAAUGAUGACGAUAAAAAUAGUUGCUAACAGCAACCAGUAUAAGAAUGUGAAGAAAACCCCUCGAGAGUUUUAUUCAGAUUCAAAGCUCGGGCAAGUGCAACAGAAAGUAUACCGCCUAAGCCGGCACAUGCCGGACGGUAAGGUUGAAACCGUGAGGUAAGAGCUCACGCGCUUGUGCGGUGACGCGCAAGAAGAGGCAAACCCUAUUUGGUGAAAGAGUAAAUUUGGUAGCUCGUCUGAGCCAUGCAGCAAUGUAUGAUCUAGAUAGAUGAUUGUCACCCGGCAUACGCCAGGUACUAAAUUCGGCUUAUAGGUUUUCCUAUCCA